UGGGGAAUAUUGCGCAAUGGGGGAAACCCUGACGCAGCGACGCCGCGUGCGGGAUGAAGGCCUUCGGGUUGUAAACCGCUGUGGAUUGGGAGCAAGCCUUGGGGGUGAGUGUACCUUUCGAAUAAGCGCCGGCUAACUACGUGCCAGCAGCCGCGGUAAUACGUAGGGCGCAAGCGUUAUCCGGAAUUAUUGGGCGUAAAGAGCUUGUAGGCGGUUCGUCGCGUCAGGUGUGAAAGCCCAUCGCUUAACGGUGGGUUUGGGCCGGGUACGGGCGGGCUAGAGUGCAGUAGGGGAGACUGGAAUUCCCGGUGUAACGGUGGAAUGUGUAGAUAUCGGGAAGAACACCAAUGGCGAAGGCAGGUCUCUGGGCUGUUACUGACGAUGAGAAGCGAAAGCGUGGGGAGCGAACAGG
RNAcentral lists this ribosomal RNA (412 nucleotides) under Verrucomicrobiota bacterium. RNAcentral's name for it is "Verrucomicrobia bacterium partial 16S ribosomal RNA". It matches the Rfam family "Bacterial small subunit ribosomal RNA", at positions 355 to 776 of the family's 1533-position model. Lineage: Bacteria; Pseudomonadati; Verrucomicrobiota. The record is from RNAcentral.